Molecule: ribosomal RNA, 1222 nt
Filed under: metagenome
Description: bacterial SSU rRNA
Rfam family: Bacterial small subunit ribosomal RNA
Source: RNAcentral
AGAGUUUGAUCCUGGCUCAGAAUGAACGCUGGCGGCGUGCUUAACACAUGCAAGUCGCACGAGAACGCUUUAGCUUGCUAGAGCAAGUAAAGUGGCGCACGGGUGAGUAACGCGUGGGCAAUCUACCUCCGAAUCGGGGAUAACAUUGCGAAAGCGAUGCUAAUACCGGAUGACAUCCUGAAGGCUUCGGUUUUAAGGAUCAAAGGUGGCCUCUACAUGUAAGCUACUGUUUGGAGAUGAGCCCGCGUACCAUUAGCUUGUUGGUAGGGUAACGGCCUACCAAGGCGACGAUGGUUAGCUGGUCUGAGAGGAUGAUCAGCCACACUGGAACUGACACACGGUCCAGACUCCUACGGGAGGCAGCAGUGAGGAAUUUUGCGCAAUGGGGGAAACCCUGACGCAGCAACGCCGCGUGAGUGAUGAAGGCUUUCGGGUCGUAAAGCUCUGUCAAGUGGGAAGAAACCACGAGGUGAUAAUAUCGCUUUGUGCUGACGGUACCACUGAAGGAAGCACCGGCUAACUCCGUGCCAGCAGCCGCGGUAAUACGGGGGGUGCAAGCGUUAUUCGGAAUCAUUGGGCGUAAAGGGCGCGUAGGCGGUUUGUUAAGUCAGAUGUGAAAGCCCGGGGCUCAACCCCGGAAGUGCAUUUGAUACUGGCGGACUUGAGUAUGGGAGAGGGAAGUGGAAUUCCUGGUGUAGAGGUGAAAUUCGUAGAUAUCAGGAGGAACACCGGUGGCGAAGGCGACUUCCUGGACCAAUACUGACGCUGAGGCGCGAAGGCGUGGGUAGCAAACAGGAUUAGAUACCCUGGUAGUCCACGCAGUAAACGGUGAUCACUAGGUGUAGCGGGUAUUGACCCCUGCUGUGCCGCAGUUAACGCAUUAAGUGAUCCGCCUGGGGAGUACGGCCGCAAGGUUAAAACUCAAAGGAAUUGACGGGGGCCCGCACAAGCGGUGGAGCAUGUGGUUUAAUUCGACGCAACGCGAAGAACCUUACCUGGGUUUGACAUCUCGGGGAUUUUUUGGAAACAAGAAAGUGCCCUUCGGGGAGCCCGAAGACAGGUGCUGCAUGGCUGUCGUCAGCUCGUGUCGUGAGAUGUUGGGUUAAGUCCCGCAACGAGCGCAACCCUUAUCUUUAGUUACCAUCACUUCGGGUGGGGACUCUAAAGAUACUGCCCCGGUCAACGGGGAGGAAGGUGGGGAUGACGUCAAGUCCUCAUGGCC